AAAACAUUGUAUAAAUGUCCUUCAGCCUCUGUUUUGACCAAUAGUCAUUACUCUGAAUACUUUGAUUUACACCGUGGGACCCGGCAGGGUUGCCCACUAAGCCCACUCCUUUUCGGAAUUGCCAUUGAGCCUCUUGCAAUUGCCUUACGUAGCAAUGGGCGGGUACAGGGAAUAUGGAGGGGAGGAGUCGAACAUAAAGUCUCGCUGUAUGCAGGCGACCUACUUCUGUUUGUUUCAAAACCAACCACUUCUCUACCAGAAGCCCUCACGAUCUUAGAUAAUUUCAGUCAAUUUAAAUAAAAGCGAACUAUUCCCAAUUAAUAAAGAAGCUCUUAAACUUAACUAUACCCAUCUCCCAUUGAAGGUGGU
Molecule: unclassified non-coding RNA, 369 nt
Filed under: Hevea brasiliensis (rubber tree)
Lineage: Eukaryota; Viridiplantae; Streptophyta; Magnoliopsida; Malpighiales; Euphorbiaceae
Source: RNAcentral